UGGGGAAUAUUGGACAAUGGGGGCAACCCUGAUCCAGCAAUGCCGCGUGUGUGAAGAAGGCCUGAGGGUUGUAAAGCACUUUCAGUGGGGAGGAGGGUUUAUAGGUUAAGAGCUAGUAGACUGGACGUUACCCACAGAAGAAGCACCGGCUAACUCCGUGCCAGCAGCCGCGGUAAUACGGAGGGUGCAAGCGUUAAUCGGAAUUACUGGGCGUAAAGCGUGCGUAGGUGGUUGAUUAAGUUAUCUGUGAAAUCCCUGGGCUUAACCUGGGCAGGUCAGAUGAUACUGGUUGACUCGAGUAUGGGAGAGGGUAGUGGAAUUUCCGGUGUAGCGGUGAAAUGCGUAGAGAUCGGAAGGAACACCAGUGGCGAAGGCGGCUACCUGGCCUAAUACUGACACUGAGGCACGAAAGCGUGGGGAGCAAACAGG
Molecule: ribosomal RNA, 429 nt
Filed under: uncultured bacterium
Lineage: Bacteria
Description: bacterial SSU rRNA
Rfam family: Bacterial small subunit ribosomal RNA
Source: RNAcentral